GGCAGCUGUCUAUGUUCAUGAAACCUUUGACCCGAUUGAACAUGGACUCGACCCUCUUAUGGAUCCACGGGAGAGUACAGAUGAUCUAUUUGGCACCUAUGAGGAAGCACUGUGUGGAGAAAAUUCCUUCCCUUUAUGCAAAUGAAACUUUCUCCAGUGCAAACUGCAUAUGGAAAUUAAAGUAAUUUGAACUAUU
Clupea harengus (Atlantic herring) is the source of this 196-nucleotide long non-coding RNA. RefSeq lists it as uncharacterized. The record is from RefSeq and is a predicted model, not a curated record. NCBI's taxonomy places the organism in Eukaryota, Metazoa, Chordata, Actinopteri, Clupeiformes, Clupeidae. The transcript has 2 exons.